This 496-nucleotide ribosomal RNA is filed under the name uncultured bacterium. Its description in RNAcentral is "bacterial SSU rRNA". It matches the Rfam family "Bacterial small subunit ribosomal RNA", at positions 30 to 518 of the family's 1533-position model. The record is from RNAcentral.
AUUGAACGCUGGGGGCAGGCCUAACACAUGCAAGUCGAGCGGAUGAGGGUAGCUUGCUACCUGAUUCAGCGGCGGACGGGUGAGUAAUGCCUAGGAAUCUGCCUGGUAGUGGGGGACAACGUUUCGAAAGGAACGCUAAUACCGCAUACGUCCUACGGGAGAAAGUGGGGGAUCUUCGGACCUCACGCUAUCAGAUGAGCCUAGGUCGGAUUAGCUAGUUGGUGGGGUAAAGGCUCACCAAGGCGACGAUCCGUAACUGGUCUGAGGGGAUGAUCAGUCACACUGGAACUGAGACACGGUCCAGACUCCUACGGGAGGCAGCAGUGGGGAAUAUUGGACAAUGGGCGCAAGCCUGAUCCAGCCAUGCCGCGUGUGUGAAGAAGGUCUUCGGAUUGUAAAGCACUUUAAGUUGGGAGGAAGGGCAGUAAGUUAAUACCUUGCUGUUUUGACGUUACCGACAGAAUAAGCACCGGCUAACUCUGUGCCAGCAGCCGAC